CAGAGGGUGCAAGCGUUAAUCGGAAUUACUGGGCGUAAAGGGCGCGUAGGCGGAUGAGUAAGUUAGGUGUGAAAUCCCUGGGCUUAACCUGGGAAUGGCACUUAAUACUGUUUAUCUAGAGUAGAGUAGAGGGAAGUGGAAUUUCCGGUGUAGCGGUGAAAUGCGUAGAGAUCGGAAAGAACACCAGUGGCGAAGGCGGCUUCCUGGACUCAUACUGACGCUGAGACGCGAAAGCGUGGGGAGCAAACAGGAUUAGAUACCCUGGUAGUCCAUGCUGUAAACGAUGAAAACUAGAUGUUGUUAGGUUAAACCUAUCAGUAUCGCAGCUAACGCGAUAAGUUUUCCGCCUGGGGAGUACGGCCGCAAGGUUA
RNAcentral lists this ribosomal RNA (371 nucleotides) under uncultured organism. RNAcentral's name for it is "bacterial SSU rRNA". It matches the Rfam family "Bacterial small subunit ribosomal RNA", at positions 526 to 896 of the family's 1533-position model. The record is from RNAcentral.